ACAAAUAUUGUAUGCAGUCGCAUACAUAAACCGUGUGCAAACCGAGUCCAGUUGCCGAAUUGGACUUUGGAUUAUAUAUGUUUAGAGUCUAAAAUCAUUAUUAAUUGAAAA
This 111-nucleotide unclassified non-coding RNA is filed under the name uncultured fungus. Its description in RNAcentral is "sequence contains ITS1". Lineage: Eukaryota; Fungi. The record is from RNAcentral.